UACGGAGGGUGCAAGCGUUAUCCGGAUUUACUGGGUUUAAAGGGUGCGUAGGUUGCAAUAUAAGUCAGUGGUGAAAGGUCGUAGCCUAACUACGGAUGUGCCAUUGAUACUGUAUAGCUAGAAUUGACACGAGGUACUUGGAAUGCGUCAUGUAGCGGUGAAAUGCUUAGAGAUGACGUAGAACACCAAUAGCGAAGGCAGAGUACCAGUGUACGAUUGACACUGAGGCACGAAAGCGUGGGGAGCGAACAGG
RNAcentral lists this ribosomal RNA (253 nucleotides) under uncultured bacterium. RNAcentral describes it as "partial 16S ribosomal RNA". It matches the Rfam family "Bacterial small subunit ribosomal RNA", at positions 524 to 776 of the family's 1533-position model. The record is from RNAcentral.